Molecule: ribosomal RNA, 189 nt
Filed under: Xylaria sp. SCJH
Lineage: Eukaryota; Fungi; Ascomycota; Sordariomycetes; Xylariales; Xylariaceae
Description: 5.8S ribosomal RNA
Rfam family: 5.8S ribosomal RNA (bases 35-188)
About the family: 5.8S ribosomal RNA (5.8S rRNA) is a component of the large subunit of the eukaryotic ribosome. It is transcribed by RNA polymerase I as part of the 45S precursor that also contains 18S and 28S rRNA.
Source: RNAcentral
AACUUGACUUCUGAAAACAUACUUAAUAAGUUAAAACUUUCAACAACGGAUCUCUUGGUUCUGGCAUCGAUGAAGAACGCAGCGAAAUGCGAUAAGUAAUGUGAAUUGCAGAAUUCAGUGAAUCAUCGAAUCUUUGAACGCACAUUGCGCCCAUUAGUAUUCUAGUGGGCAUGCCUGUUCGAGCGUCAU